AGAGUCAUGCAGGAAGGAGUAGCGAACCAUCCUGACCCCGAGCCAUGUGAGGGCAGCCGUAAGGCUGCACUAGAAGCGUUGGGAAGGGGCACAUGUAGGCUGGGUAUCCCUGAAGUAGACGUCGAGGGCGAGGUCAGCGGCCAGCCAAUCAACAGAAGUUCUGUCGAACAGGCGUGCCAGAAGGCUCGGCGACUAUCUGGCAUCC
Molecule: non-coding RNA, 205 nt
Filed under: Candidatus Sulfopaludibacter sp. SbA3
Lineage: Bacteria; Pseudomonadati; Acidobacteriota; Terriglobia; Bryobacterales; Solibacteraceae
Source: RNAcentral